This 359-nucleotide ribosomal RNA is filed under the name Escherichia coli. RNAcentral's name for it is "partial 23S ribosomal RNA". It matches the Rfam family "Bacterial large subunit ribosomal RNA", at positions 1238 to 1599 of the family's 2925-position model. Lineage: Bacteria; Pseudomonadati; Pseudomonadota; Gammaproteobacteria; Enterobacterales; Enterobacteriaceae. The record is from RNAcentral.
GUUCUGUAAGCCUGUGAAGGUGUACUGUGAGGUAUGCUGGAGGUAUCAGAAGUGCGAAUGCUGACAUAAGUAACGAUAAAGCGGGUGAAAAGCCCGCUCGCCGGAAGACCAAGGGUUCCUGUCCAACGUUAAUCGGGGCAGGGUGAGUCGACCCCUAAGGCGAGGCCGAAAGGCGUAGUCGAUGGGAAACAGGUUAAUAUUCCUGUACUUGGUGUUACUGCGAAGGGGGGACGGAGAAGGCUAUGUUGGCCGGGCGACGGUUGUCCCGGUUUAAGCGUGUAGGCUGGUUUUCCAGGCAAAUCCGGAAAAUCAAGGCUGAGGCGUGAUGACGAGGCACUACGGUGCUGAAGCAACAAAUG